CCUACGGGAGGCCGCAGUGGGGAAUAUUGGGCAAUGGGCGCAAGCCUGACCCAGCAACGCCGCGUGCAGGAAGAAGGCUUUCGGGUUGUAAACUUCUUUUCUCAGGGACGAAGCAAGUGACGGUACCUGAGGAAUAAGCCACGGCUAACUACGUGCCAGCAGCCGCGGUAAUACGGAGGUGGCAAGCGUUAUCCGGAUUUACUGGGUGUAAAGGGCGUGUAGGCGGGAAAGCAAGUCAGAUGUGAAACCCAUGGGCUCAACCUGUGGCCUGCAUUUGAAACUGUUUUUCUUGAGUACUGGAGAGGCAGACGGAAGUCCUAGUGUAGCGGUGAAAUGCGGAGAUAUUAGGAGGAACACCAGUGGCGAAGGCGGUCUGCUGGACAGCAACUGACGCUGAGGCGCGAAAGCGUGGGGAGCAAACAGGAUUAGAUACCCCUGUAGUC
RNAcentral lists this ribosomal RNA (443 nucleotides) under uncultured bacterium. Its description in RNAcentral is "partial 16S ribosomal RNA". It matches the Rfam family "Bacterial small subunit ribosomal RNA", at positions 338 to 795 of the family's 1533-position model. The record is from RNAcentral.